GAUGAACGCUGGCGGUGUGCCUAAUACAUGCAAGUCGAGCGAACAGACGAGGAGCUUACUCCUCUGACGUUAGCGGCGGACGGGUGAGUAACACGUGGAUAACCUACCUAUAAGACUGGGAUAACUUCGGGAAACCGGAGCUAAUACCGGAUAACAUGUUGAACCGCAUGGUUCAACAGUGAAAGACGGUCUUGCUGUCACUUAUAGAUGGAUCCGCGUCGCAUUAGCUAGUUGGUAAGGUAACGGCUUACCAAGGCAACGAUGCGUAGCCGACCUGAGAGGGUGAUCGGCCACACUGGAACGGAGACACGGUCCAGACUCCUACGGGAGGCAGCAGUAGGGAAUCUUCCGCAAUGGGCGAAAGCCUGACGGAGCAACGCCGCGUGAGUGAAGAAGGUCUUCGGAUCGUAAAACUCUGUUAUUAGGGAAGAACAAAUGUGUAAGUAACUAUGCACGUCUUGACGGUACCUAAUCAGAAAGCCACGGCUAACUACGUG
Molecule: ribosomal RNA, 497 nt
Filed under: uncultured bacterium
Lineage: Bacteria
Description: partial 16S ribosomal RNA
Rfam family: Bacterial small subunit ribosomal RNA
Source: RNAcentral